RNAcentral lists this long non-coding RNA (607 nucleotides) under Gossypium barbadense (sea-island cotton). Its description in RNAcentral is "long non-coding RNA (GBAR_LNC022467)". The record is from RNAcentral. Lineage: Eukaryota; Viridiplantae; Streptophyta; Magnoliopsida; Malvales; Malvaceae.
CAGCUGAGGCCUUCUCGUGUUCAUGGGCAAUACAAAUGGGCUUAGAAAUGGGGUUAACGGAAGCAACAAGUUAUACACGAUAGAUCUAAUAUAAGCGCCUAUAUUCGAAACAGCUAACAGAAGAUGAACAGUUUUACUUUUAUUCGGCUUAAACAUGCAAGUUAUUUUGAAAAUCAGUUAGCCUAUUUUUUAGCAAAGGAGAGUCUGAGAUCUGGUGAAGGCUUUUACCUGGAAGAUGUUGUCCCGAGUUAUGCGAUGAGGACGAUGAAAGCUGAACGGGUGUGAGAGCCGGAUUGAGGAGGAUCGGAAGCAAGUUUUCCAGCCCCGGUGAAAGGAAAGAAAGGAUGAGAACUCUUUUCUUGUGUUUUUUUGGAUAUCUGCAAAAUCGGGUUUGGAAAAGGAAACUUCUUGGAAAUGAAACCGUCCGAUUUUGAAAUGAUGAGGGGAUAAGGCCGGUUUUACUUUUCCUAUUUGGCUGGGCUAGGUAGUUUAUUUUUUAAUUGCUUGUUUUGGUUCUAUGUUUCAUUUCUGGUUUUGGGCUCGGUGGGGUCGUGCCAGAUCAUUUCCAUUGUGUUAUCAUUUUUCUUCUUUUAAUAACAAAUCCUGG